This is a long non-coding RNA of Oncorhynchus mykiss (rainbow trout), 4469 nucleotides long. RefSeq lists it as uncharacterized. The record is from RefSeq and is a predicted model, not a curated record. Lineage: Eukaryota; Metazoa; Chordata; Actinopteri; Salmoniformes; Salmonidae.
GCCUGCCUUGACCUGUCUAUUGCCUUCCCCUGUUGGAUUAUUAAACCAUUGUUAAUUCAACGUUUUCAGAUAAGGGUGUGAAACAUCCCAAAUUGUCAGACAAUUUUAAAAAUGGUGGUAGAAAUUGGUUUAUUAAGAAAGUACACAUCUUUCCAGUUUUUUUUCAGACAACCCGGUGGUAAUUUUAGUUGUUGGCUUGAGCACAACGCGCAAAGCCCAGAGUGCACAUUUGCUCGAUAAUGCAAUUUAUUUUGACAAAAUUAUCAGUAGCCUAGAGUUAAAAAUGCGAUGGAAAUCCAUUUACUUGUAUUUUUUUAUUCGGUACAUGGAAAUGUUAUGCUCACAGCUUUUUAUUCGCAACAAAUCAAUUGUUUAAAUGCGCAUGUUUUUAUGCAGAUUUUUUAGUAUUUGCUUGGAAAUCUGUCACCAAUUGGCUGGAAACCUAGCUAUAGAAAACAAGGGGUGGGGGUUGUGCUGUUACUCAAAAACAUUUCCCAAUGUUGACAGGUCUGCUAUUUAUUUGUAUGUUGAAAUGCAUGUGUAGGCUACAUUUUGUUGUUGGUGACCUUGCAUGCAGAAACCACAUAUCUUUAAAUUAAAACGAAGGUUUUGAACUUGGUUUAGGCAUGUGGUCACUUUUCCAAUAAUGAGAUAUGUAGCCUUGUUAAUGUUUUUAAACAUGUUUACGUUAUUCACAAUGCACCCGUUCACAGUUGGCUAGUUAAUACAAAAUAAUGGAAAUGAGGGGGGAAAGGAUAAGGUCAAUAUGUUCAGAUGUACUAAAAUCAACUGUGUCUCAUGCAUUGUGAAUGUAAGAAUUAGAUCUGUCAUUCACAAUACUGUAUGCACAACGGGGCUGAGGAAAUUAACUUGAGGAAGAUAGAUGACUGAUGCUUCUUACCCUUAUUCAUUGAGGAGCGGGGGAAGUUCUACGAAACAAAUUGUUAGUUUCAGUAUUAAUAGUAAUUUUCAACAAUUCUAAACAGCUACUAAAAACUAUUUGUAAAAAUUUAUUAAUUAUCAUCUUAUCUCACAAAUACAAAUGUUCAUGUCAUUCUCAACAUAUCCCUUACAACAGCAAAUUACAAUGUUUCCCUUUAUUUACACUCUCCGCGUGAACGUUCGUUGGAGUCCUCAGAUGACAUGACUGUGGUAGGCUAGCUUGGCUGGAGCUAACGUUGGACGAUGUGAACUUCUAUGCUAACAGAGUUUUACAGAUUAAUUAAACUCAAACAUCAUAAAAACAUGACAAUAAUAUCAUUAAACUCCGCUUAACUUGGUAUUUCACAUCAUAUGCUUUAUAACUCGCUCACCGUGAAGAUUAAAAAUAAUUCGUUUAUCUGGUGCUUCAGUUUUCAGUUGGCUCUCGUUCAACUUCACUAGGCAGGCAGGCUAGCGUGAUAGCCACUGUAGAGUGAGAGCACAUGAAGUACCCACUUCCCAAGAAACAAGCACACCCCUUGACUAUACAUGAUUACAAAUAGCAGAUUAGGCUACCAUAUAUCUAACAUUCUCCAACAUUUCUGGUUGGCAACACAGGGAACCCAAACAUGAGCACUUUAAAAAAAAAAAAAACUUUUAACAGAAAGUAUUACCCCUUUUUCACAGCAACUAUUUACAUUUUUAUUUGAUGUUACAGACAAACUAGGGCCAACAAUAGUAGCCUCAUGCCUCUGACUUUAUGUAGCACAAUAUUGGCUCACUCCAAUAUGGUAUCCUUCCGCUCGACAGGAUACAUUUAGUCCUGUGUACCGGGUAGUGCUGCGACUGACCCCCUUAAAUAGCUGCCGAGCUACUACUCACACCUUUUCCUAUUUUCGGCUCAUUCCAGAAGAUUCGCUGGGGGGGGGAUGUUUUUUCAGCAGCAGGGACUGAGACUCGUCAGGAUCGAGGGAAAGAUGAACGGAGCAAAGUACAGAGAGAUCCUUGAUAACCUGCUCCAGAGCGCUCAGGACCUCAGAUUGGCAGUUAUAUAGAACACAUUGUAUUGCUAAAAUGGUAUCUGCAGUGGCCGUACAGCAUUUACUGUGAUACAGCCUCUGCAGAUGUCAGGGCAUAUACACUUGCGCUUCGUUGAGUAGAGCAGAGCAGGACUUCCCGCCCCCACCUACCGUCAAUCAAUCAUGUCAAUGCGGAGCUUUGCGGAGCCCUCCACAUUGUUACAAAUUCUGGCCCGUGCAUGGUUUUGCGGUAUGGAGCUCCAUUUGAUCUCUGCAUGCCUACUGCGGCUCAGCAAUUCUAGCUUCAACCACAUUUUUCAGAUCAAGCGUAAAUUGGCUUUAAGUUGCCCCUCACUAUAGCUGCACUUCUCCACAUGUUCAGACUUUUAGGGCAGGUGUCACAGACAGGGCUUAUAUUAUUCCAGGAGUAGGCCUUAAUGUGUACUAUUUAAACUAGGACAUUUAAAUAGCAUUCAUGAACGUGGUUUAAAUUUGGGUUAGUUAGUCAGACUACGGAGUCCUUGAGUAAGGUAAGUAAACCUAAAUGAGAACACCUGGGUUAAGCCUGAUUAGGUUAAGUAUGAGCACAUGCUGUUGGUCUAAUGGUGCUCAUAUAAUCCUGGGAAUGGAAUAGAAAACACCAUCACUGGUGUGAAUCUUGAGACAAAACAAUGGCAGAGGCUAAAAUUCAAAACUUGAGCAUGAAAAAAUGCUACUAAAACAAAAAUUUCUCAAACCAUCCAGUUAUUGAACGUAAAAACCAUUCCACUGCUACUGAGCAAAAUAACAAGUGGUUGGGCUGCAAUUUUUAGUGAAUUCAAUGCAAAGGAAAAUGUAAAAACAAGAAGAGUACUACUUAAGACUCUGAAAGAACCUUUAAACUGACUUUAAAAAGAGAGAGUGCAGAGUUCAGAAGAGAGCGAUUUUACUACUGUUGGUGGACCACCAAAAAAAGAUGAGACUGAUGAAUUGAGUGACUUCCUGUCUGGAAUAAUAGAGCACCAGCAACCUCUGGGUGGUAUACCAGACGAUGACCAUUUGGACAGUUCAGAAGAAGCGCUGAGCACAAAUGAGGAAAGGAAUGUGAACAGGUUGGAAGAGCCAGUGCACAGUGAGUGUGUACCUGCCACAUCUGCUAUAGCAUCCCUGAGAUAAGAUUCUGCCACCACCUUUCAGCAGAGAACAAAAAAGAUGACCGUGCAUGAGAAGUUAGCCAGAGAACUUCACGACCAUCAAAUUAAAUAUCUGAAGAACAUGAAAUGAGAAUUGUACAGGUUGAACUGGAUAUGAAGUUGGAAGAGAGCGGUAUGAUGCAAAAUAUGUACAGUAAUGAGACUAUUGUGAUUACCAGCCAUGGUGAACAAUAUAUGUAAAACAUGUUUUGUCAUUUGGAUAUUCAUGAGUGAGUAUUUUAAUCACCACAAACUACAUUUUAAACUAGUCUUGGUUUAGUCACUCAUUUCGUUUUGCUGCACACUAUUUUAAUUUUGUACAGAACAUACAUUUAUCAAGGCAAAGAUAAGCCAUAAUGAAUAAUUCCAUAUUUAGAUGCAUCUCAUCUAGUUGAGGUGUUGCAAUUUGAAAGCAACUGUGUGCAAGUCCUCGUUGGUCCUUGCCUGCCUCAUCCAUGGGCACAUCUGCUUGAUCCUGAUCUUCCAUUGGAGGAUCAGGACAGCAAUGCUGCUUCAGGUAGUUGUGCAGCACAGCCGUAGCAACGAUCACUUUGCAGCAUCUUGUCUUGAAACAAAGUGUAUUGUGUAAACACGGGAAUCGAUUUUUCCAUACUCCAAACAUACGCUCGACCAUCCCUCUUGUCCGCAUAUGAGCUCAGUUGUAUCUUUGCGGCUCAGACGUUGUAUUUAUGUAUGGGUUGAAUAAAAAGUUACUGACCAUAUCCACUGUCACCAAGUAGUAGUCCACUAUGUUGUCCUUUUUGAAACUAAGCAUACAAUGAAGAGUUGAGGAAAAAUCCUUGAAUUGUGAGUUGCACCUUUUGUGAGGGGAAAAAAUAUGUAUUAAUCUUAUUUGUUGGAUAUGGAACAAUUUAUUUACUUAAAUAUUUCUCUCCUGCUAAUGUUGAGUUUUAUGGUGUCCACUCUAGCUUCCUGCAGCUAGUCUGGGUGCUGUGGACAUGGGUUUUACGAGAGAGCUGGAACUGACACUUGAUUGACCUGGUGAUUUAAAACCUACAGCCGGCAUUCGUGACAGGAUGUGGGGUGGUUGUAACUGGGAUAGAGAGGAGUAGAACAAAGGCCUCUGGUUCUUAGACAUCCUGGCAUCUGGGAAAUUAGGCCAGGGUCGGGGGUAAGAUAACGCCGGGGGCAGAUAAAGACAGGAUGUGCCCAAAGUGGCUCAUGGUUCCCCCCAAUCCAUAUGGGAACGGUGGAGCCAGCCAUGGUUGGAAGCAUUUUUAGGUUUGGUAUAUAAAUACACUGUAUUUUCUGUAUGGUUCAAGCACUCGGUCCGACAGUCAAGACUGCUUCAUUAUUGCAUUAAUUAAUCCAUUUUAAAUAAAGAUUGUUUGAAGAA